This is a long non-coding RNA of Lolium rigidum, 569 nucleotides long. RefSeq lists it as uncharacterized. The record is from RefSeq and is a predicted model, not a curated record. The transcript has 4 exons. Lineage: Eukaryota; Viridiplantae; Streptophyta; Magnoliopsida; Poales; Poaceae.
CCGCCGGAGCCCCGCCUACCGCCACAGUAUUCCGUCGAUUCCGACGAAAUUCCAAAACGAUGAAGUCAUCAACAACAGAGAGGUCACCGUCACCGUAUGAACUCUGGCCACCAUCGUUCACUGUUCCACGAAGAACAAGGCGACGCUACAGCCACAAUCAUCUUCACCGUGUUGCCCGGAACACCACCGACCAGUCCACGGCCGUGGAGGACCGGUACAUCACCGUCUUCAUUCACAUCCAACCCGCUGCGCGUAUGUUCGUACAUGGUUAUACAGUAGCUGAACGACGUGCGCGUCCAUGAUAGGAGCACGCCAUCGCUCGGCCCGACUCAGGCCGAUCCUCCUCGCCACACAAGGACGCGAUCGAGCUCUUCGACCACUCCAUCGACUUCCCCGUGAAUUGCUGCAACGCGCAGACUACUCCACGUCUCCGGGAACCCAGCAUCACCGUCGUCGGCAACGACCAGGGAGGUGCCAUCCUCGUCUUCGAACAGUACCACCGCUCGUUGUACGGAGAGAUACGAGUUUUGAUUGAGAGAAGAGCAGAAUUCUUCAGAUACCAAAAAGGC